GUGUCCGUUUGUGGGGGACAACCACCCGAAAGGGUGGCUAAUACCGCAUAAGACCUGAGGGUGAAAGCCGGGGACCGCAAGGCCUGGCGCGAACGGAGCGGCCGAUGACUGAUUAGCUGGUUGGCGGGGUAAAGGCCCACCAAGGCGACGAUCAGUAGCUGGUCUGAGAGGACGACCAGCCACACUGGAACUGAGACACGGUCCAGACUCCUACGGGAGGCAGCAGUGGGGAAUUUUGGACAAUGGGGGCAACCCUGAUCCAGCCAUGCCGCGUGCGGGAAGAAGGCCUUCGGGUUGUAAACCGCUUUUGUCAGGGACGAAAAGGUGCGGGUUAAGAGCUAGCACUGAUGACGGUACCUGAAGAAUAAGCACCGGCUAACUACGUGCCAGCAGCCGCGGUAAUACGUAGGGUGCGAGCGUUAAUCGGAAUUACUGGGCGUAAAGCGUGCGCAGGCGGUUGGGUAAGACAGAUGUGAAAUCCCCGGGCUUAACCUGGGAACUGCAUUUGUGACUGUCCGACUGGAGUAUGUCAGAGGGGGGUGGAAUUCC
RNAcentral lists this ribosomal RNA (549 nucleotides) under uncultured bacterium. RNAcentral's name for it is "bacterial SSU rRNA". It matches the Rfam family "Bacterial small subunit ribosomal RNA", at positions 126 to 670 of the family's 1533-position model. The record is from RNAcentral.